UCGAGCGGAUGAAGGGAGCUUGCUCCUGGAUUCAGCGGCGGACGGGUGAGUAAUGCCUAGGAAUCUGCCUGGUAGUGGGGGAUAACGUCCGGAAACGGGCGCUAAUACCGCAUACGUCCUGAGGGAGAAAGUGGGGGAUCUUCGGACCUCACGCUAUCAGAUGAGCCUAGGUCGGAUUAGCUAGUUGGUGGGGUAAAGGCCUACCAAGGCGACGAUCCGUAACUGGUCUGAGAGGAUGAUCAGUCACACUGGAACUGAGACACGGUCCAGACUCCUACGGGAGGCAGCAGUGGGGAAUAUUGGACAAUGGGCGAAAGCCUGAUCCAGCCAUGCCGCGUGUGUGAAGAAGGUCUUCGGAUUGUAAAGCACUUUAAGUUGGGAGGAAGGGCAGUAAGUUAAUACCUUGCUGUUUUGACGUUACCAACAGAAUAAGCACCGGCUAACUUCGUGCCAGCAGCCGCGGUAAUACGAAGGGUGCAAGCGUUAAUCGGAAUUACUGGGCGUAAAGCGCGCGUAGGUGGUUCAGCAAGUUGGAUGUGAAAUCCCCGGGCUCAACCUGGGAACUGCAUCCAAAACUACUGAGCUAGAGUACGGUAGAGGGUGGUGGAAUUUCCUGUGUAGCGGUGAAAUGCGUAGAUAUAGGAAGGAACACCAGUGGCGAAGGCGANCACCUGGACUGAUACUGACACUGANGU
RNAcentral lists this ribosomal RNA (695 nucleotides) under Burkholderia gladioli. RNAcentral's name for it is "bacterial SSU rRNA". It matches the Rfam family "Bacterial small subunit ribosomal RNA", at positions 62 to 752 of the family's 1533-position model. The record is from RNAcentral. Lineage: Bacteria; Pseudomonadati; Pseudomonadota; Betaproteobacteria; Burkholderiales; Burkholderiaceae.